UAACAAGCUAAAAUGUUGAUUUGUCAUAUGAUUGGAAGUUUUAAAUAUUAUGUGGACGCUCUUAAUAGCUUAUAGCCUCAACAUUUUUUAAAAUAGUAAACUAAAAUAAUGAUUUGUCAUAUUACGAUUGUAGCUUUUAAAUCGUAUGUAGACGCUCUUAUUAGCUUAUAGCUGUAACUUUUUUAAAAAAAUAGUAAACUAAAAUAAUGAUUUGUCAUACUACGAUUGGUCGUUUAAAUCAUAAAUUUGGAAAACUUCUAUUUUAUGUUAAAUAUACAUAUAACGUUUAAAACUUCUAUUUUAUGUUAAUAUACAUAAAUUUGGAAAGCUGACAAAAAAAAAGCAGACAAAAAAAAUACAUAAAUUUGGAAAUCAUGUCAUUUUCAAAACUAAUAAUUAUCUUUUAUUAGCAUACUUAAUUAUAUAAUAUAUUUUUUUGGAAACAUUAACAUAUUUAAAAAAUGAUGUGUCAUAAUACGAUUGGUUAUUUAACAUCCUACGUGGACGCCCUCAACGGCUUAUAGCCUCAACUUUUAUAUAGUAUAUACUAGAUUUUAUGCUCGCGCUACACGCGAGUCUGUAUUAAUAAUUUAGUUUAGUUUUAUAAUAACUUUUAAACUAAUUAUCUAGUUGAUUUAUAUAAUUUUCUUAUCUGAAAUAUGAUCUGAUGAUUUUAUUUUUUACAUGUAUUUAUAAAUGUACCCUCUUAUUGGAUAUUUAGUUAUUUGUAUUUAUAAAUGUAAUAAUUAUGUUUAUAAACAUAUUCCCAAUUUUCGAAAAAUAUUAAUUUGUAUUUAAAAAUAGUAUAUAAAUUUCUUGAUGCAUGUAAACUGUUAAUACAUUAUAAUAUUUUAUCAUAAAGUUUACAUAUAUUUUAUUUGAAUAACAUAAACAAUUGAAUUAUUUGCAUAAUAUAUAAUUUUACUUUGUAGUCAAAAAAACUUUUAAUGUGUGAUUGUUAUAUAUAUGUGAUAGUUUGAUUGUUUUAUAUAUAUAUAUAUAUAUAUGUGAUAGUAUAAUAUUUAGAUUUAAAAUUUAAUCACAAUAAAUAUUUUGAUGAACUUUAAUUAAUAUUUAAUAGUGUUUGAAAGAUAUUAUAAAAAAAAUAAAGUAAAUAUAAUGAAUUUAACUAAUGUUAUGUAACAUUUUAUUUAUUGAAUUGAUAAUAUUGAGAAUAUUGUAUAAUUUAUUAAUUAUGUUUAGAGUAGUUAAGCAUGUAUGAUUGUAUAAUUUAUUACAAUUUUUUUUUAUAUGAAAAUAAUACUUGUUUGUUUUGAAGUUUACGUGAAGAUCUUUAAGAUCAUUUGAAAACUAUUACAUAAUUUGAUAAAUUGGUUUAGCUUCUAAAUGCUGACAGUAAGAUAGCAAACGUUUUAGAUAGUGUAUUCAUUGUAAUCCUGAGACUUUUUUCUAAAUGUCUGAAAUUUGUAAAUUUGUAUUUUUAGUUUAUUAUUUAUAAUACUUAGUAGUAUAUUCAUAUUGAUAAAUUCAUAUUGAUUGUUCCACUUAUCAUUCUUUUAUGUUAUCUUACAUGCUAAUUUAUUGUUGGUUUUCGUUAUAAAUUUUAUAUAAAAUCUUAAAUAACUUAUUUGACAUGUUUUCUUAGGCUCUUUAUUUUUCAUUUAUCUUAUAAACAUUGUUCGCUAAAUACUUUCUUACAUUACACAACAUAGAGCAUCUUAAAUUUUAUAUGUUAUAUGAGGCAAAUUUUAUGAAUUCAUCAUGUAGUUUGCUUUAAGAACAAUAUCAUUUAUUUUUUUUGUAAAUCACACCAUGUUAGAUUUAUUUCAGUAUAACUUAUUUGGCUGGUUUCAAUGAAUAUUUUGAUUGUAACUGACUAAAAUAAUACAUUUUUUGUCUAUAAGAUUUUUCCUUUGGCUUGUAUAGUUUACUUUCCAUCGCGAAUGUUUUUCAUUUUCGCUUACUGUUAUUCUUCGUUCACUUCAAAUCAUAUAUUUCUUUAUGUAUUCUUUGUUCAUGAGGAUUAUGUGAUUCUUUGAUUUGGAUAUUAUUAAAGAAAAUACUUUUGAUAUUGAUUUCUAAUUUAUUUUAAAAUACAAUUUUGAAAUUUUAUUUUGAAGACUAUAUCUUAUUUUUUGUUCUUGCAAGUUAAAAUCGGGUAUUCUUUAUAUUUUAUUUUAUUUUAUUAUAGUUAAUUUAUUUUGUUAAAUUUCUAAAUAUUUAGUAUAUAUAUAAAUCAGUUCCAUUUUAAUGAUGUAUUUAUUAGUUUGCCUUAUUUGAUGUUGAAUUAUAUUUUUUAUCGAAAUAAUCCGUUUUGGAAAUUUGAAUAUAUUGAAAUAGUAAGUUAUUAUUAUUAUUUUUCAUAUUUUAAUUGGUUAUUUAUUAUCCUAUGUGUAUGCUCUCAUUGACUUAUAACCUCAAUUUUUAUAUAGUGAAUAAAAUAAUGAUUUAGUAUAUUUUGGUGUUUUAAAAUGAUAUAAGAAUAUUAUCAUUGAUUUAUAGCCGCAACUUAUAUAUCAAUACUAUUAAAAGAGAAUGAGUUUUAAUAAAUCGACUUAAAAAAGUUGUUUAGACCAUUUCCUUUUUUAUUUUUUUGGACUUCAUAUUAUAACAAUACGUGACAAGAUAUUUUAUCCUAUAUAUAAGUGAUUUUUACUCUAACUAUCAAACUGGAUACAUUAUUAUUUAUUCUUAACCAUUUAAAUCGAUUGCUAAACCACCCUACCCAAACAAAAUAAAUUACAUGAACCAAAACCAAAGCACAACCUAUUAUAACAGAACCUUAUCGAAAUAUUCAUUUCCCCCACUUUUAAAAACAUCAAAAUAUUCAUUUCACCCACAAGGAGCAUAGUACCAUCGACUACAAAACACAUUACAUGUAAGACACUACGUGAGAGCUCGAUUCAAACCUCCUUACUUGAUACCAUAACCUGCCAUUGUUUUAGAUCUUCUAAACCUGCCAUUGUAUUACUUCUGUUUGAAGAAAAUUAUAAAAUCAACCAUAGACACCAUAGCUUAUACGAAAGAAAAACCAUGCUGGACCCUUUAAUUUUUAAAUAUUUUGGUCUUCCCCUAUAUAAUAUAACAGCAUGUGACCAGCAUUAAAAAAAUUUUAAAAAAGCAAACACAAAUCGGCAAAAGAAUAUGCUAUGACUAUUAUCUUACCAAAAAUCACUUGGAAAUAUCUAUAUUUCUUUCUCUACAAGCUUUUUUAUUCAACCAACCCUAAACAUCUUUAUAUACGCCCAUCAUGUCUCACCAAACCUGACUUUUGAAAAAAACUAUUCACAGAGACAAGAAAAUAAAAAAAUGCGAAAGUGGUUCCUAUCAUGUUUUAUGAAGUCAUUGCAAUGCAUAUGGCCAAUUCAUGAAAAGGUAUCAAAUUUUAUUAUGGUCUGACUAUGGAGAUUUCAAGUUCACGGUGUUGAAGAACAUUUACAAAUAUUUAGGAUUGUCUACUUUGAUUAUAUAUUCAAAAUCUUAUGUUUCAAAUAUGUUUCAGGGAUCCACAAUAAAAAAACUGUUCAACGACCGAAGAACAUUUUGUUAAUCUCCUUGAUGAUCAAGAUAAAUCCAGUUUUUCGUUUGGAUAGAAAAUAAUUUUGGGAACCAUGAAGUAGAAGAUAUUGGGAGUCCAGAUUGUUGUGCCAAAAGUAAUUUUGUUUGGAAUUCAAUAUCUCUUACGUGGGAACCAAACACUGAGAUUUGAAGAAUCUUAUCAACGUACUUUUGAUUUGUUUUCUUAUAAGCUUUUUCAUAUCGUGCACUUCAUAUUUCCAGUUGUUUAAUAAUUGCGGUGAUUUAGGUCCAAAAGUACUUCAGUUUAACGUGUCUGUUCAUUAUGUUUUGGUUAAUUAUCUCUAAUAAACAGAUAUGAUUCCGUUAACAUGUUUAAUUAGGCACACAUUUGGUAAUUUUAAAUAAAAUAAAGAAUAUACUAUUAUUCUCACUCAAACACACGAAACAAAAAAAUAUUAUUAUUCUCACUCAAACACACGAAACAGAACUCAAUAAAUGAUUUGGAAUAUGAUAAGUGGAUAAAUUCGAAGGUUUUGAAGAUAUCAAAGGUUGUAUAUCGUUAUUUAAAAUCUAUACUAUUAUUCUCAAACAAACCACACCAAACAAAAUGUUGGAAAUCAAACCAACGGUCACGUAAUUAUCUAACAGAAAAAUCUAAAUUACUUCCUCUACAAGUUUAUUAACUACGGCCAACUAAACACUUUACCUUAAAUCUCUCAACUAAAAUAAAUAAUCGAUACUUUUAGAAUAUGCUAACUGGAUCAAUUCGAAGAUUUUGCAGAUAACAAAGGAAAGAAAUCAUUAUUGAGAAUAUACUAUUAUCUAACCAAAAAAUCUAAAUGACUUCCUCUACAAGUCUAUUAAUUACGGCCAAGUACACAAUUUACCUUAAAUCUCUCACCUAAAAUAACUAAUCGAUUGGAAAAAAAAUAUUCAUCCAAGAAUUUCGGUAAAAAACAUUAAUUACAAAAUAUUAUCUUAACCUACAUUGUCAUUCCUAGCUAUCCUAUUAUAAAUACAGACUUUCUCUCAACCCUUUAACCAUCCUCUCUAUCGAAUUCAAACUCACCACACAAAAAAAGAGCAUAUCGAUUCCUAAAAUCAUGGUUAACCAUAUGCAGAUCACCUUCUUGAAAGACAUCAAACCGAAAAAGACUGCUUGGCGUGUACAAGUCAAAGUUCUCCACUCAUGGAGACAAUGGAAUAAAAUUUCUGGUGAUUCAUUGGAAUUAAUCCUUUCGGAUGCAAAUGGUACGAAAAUACAAGCAUCGUGUAAAAAGGCUUACAUGGAUGAAUUGGCUAGCAAGGUUCCUGUUGGAGAGUGGAUCAACAUUGAUAACUUCAGUUUGACUGGUGCUGGACGUACACAAAAAAUCCUUUGAAAAUGAAUUUUCUUCACAACACAGACAUCUCCGAGUCAACUCUCCGGAUUGAGAAUAAUUUUCUUGAUUUGGUUGAUUUCGAAACCAUACUAAGUGGCAAACCUGAUCCGAACAUCCUUAUUGAUGUAAUUGGACAGGUUUUAGACUUGGGUGAUCUUGACACAGUUCAUUGUGCUGGAGGAAAACAACGGAAGAAGUUGGAGUUUACACUCAAGAGACAUUAAUGACCUAAGUUUGCCUUGCUGCCUUUGGGAACAUAUGCUGAGAAUGUCCACACAGCUUGCCAAAAAUCUGAAGAAGGGUUACUUGUAUGCCUUUUAAGAUUCGCUAAGAUUGGUCAUUUUAGAGGUAUCUAUACAAUAAAAACUAUAUCCUUGUUGAGAAAAGAUUAUAUGAUUUAGAUUAUAUGUUUAAAAAUAUUAUUUUGCUAUCUGUGCAUAUAACCUAUUCUUAUUUUCAAUAAUAGGGGAAGUCCAAAUCUCAAAUGCUUAUGAUUCAAUAUAGUAGUGCGCCUUGCGCAGGGCGAAUUGACAUCUAUUUUUCGCAUCGACAUCUAUUUUUCAGAACAACAAAAUAAGGACCAAUAGAAGACGAAAAUAAUUUAAAUUACUAUACAACAAUCGAUUUAUCUGAUUCUUACUCUAAUGUUGUGGCGAAUCAUUCUUCUUCUUCAAAGAUAUCUUAUCACUGAAAAUAUGAAAUAAUAAUUAGGAAAAUAAUGGUAAUUAAUUAAAUAAUAUAACCAGAAUAUAUAGAUUUAUAGCAAAAAAUAUAAAAUCCUGUAAUAAGCGUCGAUGGAUGUUAAGAAACAAAGAAACUAUUUAGAAAACAAUUUAUUUAUCUAAUACGAACGCUUACAUAUUUUGUCGGACUUCGUUUUAGAAUUUUUCGAACACAUCGAUAAGCAUUACAAUCUGUCCGAUGAGUUCUUAGAAGUUAUCGGAAACCAAACUGAAGAUUUUUAGAAAGUUAGAUCUCGGUAUUUACAAAAUAAAUAAAAAUCAAAAAGUUUAAGUUUCUUCAAGCUGUAUGAAGAAGAAAUAAGGGAGAAAAGAUUAACCUUAGGAACGAGUCGGCGUCGAACUCGAACAAACUAUUCAUUGAUCGCCAUCGGAGAGAUUUUUUUUUAAUUUUUUUUCUUUCGAUCUAAACAAGACAAGUUUUGUACUUUGUUGUCGGAAGAGAGAAAGUAUUAAAAAGGUUUGGGCCGUAUGUUAACAAAAUUAAUUUCUAACACAGAUAAACCCCAAAUUAAUAAGACCAAAAAUGUAAACAUAAUUAAAUUGAGACCCACAUUAAAUUUAAAAUAGGAAAAAGCCCAAAUACUUAAGAACAUAACUUACAAAAAUAUAUGUGAAAUAAAACAUUCUUUUUAAAAUCUAACUUUUAAUAAUGGAACAUAUGUCUCUGAUACUUUUAUAAAAUAGGAAAUUGUAGUUUAGAUUUAUAUUAUAGAUACUUUUAUAAAAAAAAUUAAAAAUAUUCUAAUACUUGGUUUUAUAAUUGGUAGUUUGAUUGUUAAUAUACAUACAAUUAAAUGUAACAUAAAUCGUUACUAUUAACACUAUAUUUAUCCCAGUUUCAAAUUGCUAUACUAUUUUUACACACAAAUGAAUCUUCAAACAAAUUUCGAACAAACUUCAAAAAUGCAAACGCGUGAUCAAAUUUCAUAGAAAUUAAUUGUGCUUAUGCAAAUGACCUAUAUAUUAGUGAUAUAAUCUUCAAAAUUAUAUGAUUCAAACCCUAAAUUUCAUAAUUAUGAAAAGCGAAACAAAAUCAAACACGCGCUUUGAAGCACGGAUCAAAAUCUAGUAGUAUAUGUUAUAAUUGUUUUCAAUAGCAUAUAGCCUAAACCCUGAAAAUAAUGAGUUAAUUUUAUUUACCUAUAAUUUUUUAAAAGCUUUGUAUUUUUAAAAUUCUUAUUUUGAACUUUGAUUUAAUGUUAAUUUCAAAAUCAUAUAUAUUAAGUGAAAUUAUUUAUAAUGUUUACUUUGGUCAACUUACUUUAUUUGAUAUUGGUUUCUAUUAUUUUUAACUGAAUAUUGUUUUGUAAAUGUUGACAUUUUUGAAAAUGAAAAUGAAAAUAAUUAUUUGUCAUAAUAUAAUUUUUUUUUGUUUUAAAUCCGGUGUGGACAUCUUCAGUGACUUAUAGCUUCAAAUUGUUUUAUAACAUAGCCUAAACUUUUAUAUAAUAUAGAUUUAUGUUAAAUUUCCAAAUAUUUAGUAUAUGUAUAUGAAUCAAUUCCAUUUUAAUUAUUUAUUUAGUAGUUUGCUUUUUUGAUAUUGAAUUAUAUUUAUUAUUCAAAUAAUAAAUUUUGGAAAUUUUAACAUUUAAAAGAAUAGUAAAUUAAAAUUAUGAUUUUUAUAUUUUAAUUGGUUGUUGAUAACCCUCUAUGUAUAUUCUCAAUGGCUUUUAACCUCAGUUUCUAUAUAGUAAAUAUAUUUUUGGGGUUUUAGAAAUAUGAUGUGAACAUUCUAAAUAUUUUAUACCUUCAACUUGUACAUAGUAUAUGUUAUUUGUGAAUAUGUUCAUUAGCAUAUAGCCUAAAAUAAAUUUAUUUACUUAUAUUUUUUUGAAAGUCUUGCAUCUUUUAACUUAAUUAUUAUUUUUUAUUUAUAUGUUUAUGUUAAAUUUCGAAAAAUAUUUUAUAUAUUAAGUUAACUUAUUUAUAAUGUUUUAUUUUUGUCAACUUAACUAAUUUGAUAUUGCUUUCUGUUUUAUUUUGAAAUAAACAAUUUUGGAAAAUAUUAACAUUUUAAAAGUAAUAAAUUAAAAUAAUGAUGUGUCAUAUUUUGAUUGGUCGUUUAACAUCCUACGCGAACGCUUUCAAUGGCUUAUAGCCUCAAUUUUUAUAUAGUAUAGAUAGCAAAAAUUAAGAUAUUAAUUUGUCAUAAUUUGAUUGGUGGUUUAAUUCCUAUAUGGAUGCUUCUAAUGACUUAUAACCUCAACUUUUAUAUAGUAUAUAUACUAAAAUUUGAAAAUUCUGUCAUAAUACAUUUUUAAAUUAGUUAUUAUUUUGGUAAUUUUUUUAAUGUUAUUUUUCGAAAUUAUGUUAUAUAUUUAGCUAACUUAUCUAUGAUGUUUUUACUUUUGUAAGUUUUCCAUUUUUGAUACUGGUUUAGUUUUUAUUUGGAAAUAAAUAACUUUUUGAAAAUUUUGACAUUUUAAAAAUUAAUAAACUAAAAUAAUAAUUUGUCAUAAUAUGAUUGGUUGUUUUAAAUCGUACUUGAACGCUCUCAAAGACUUAUAGCCUCAACUUUUAUAUAUCUUUUGAUCAAUAAAAGUUUGCUGAGUGAACUGAAUUAAGAACUUCUGAGAAGUUACCUUGUAACUUGUUUUGUUUUGAUGACCAAGAAAUUCUUAAUCUUAUAGACUACACCAGCCUUUAAAUCAUCUUCAUAGCAUGCUAUUCGAUUAGCUGGUAUGAAGGCGUGGAUUGUUGUUCCCUGUAAACAUUUGUGUCAAACAAACAAUGUGGUGCUUAUUAAAUUUUAAAUUGAGAAUGUCUAAAUAAUAUUUUUUUAUACCUUUUGAUCAAUAAGAAAUAACUCGAGACCCAUAAGCAAACCACUCUUGUUGAUGUUAUAUGCUUCCCAAAAGUGAACCACUCUAGCAAGAACUUCAUUCUUAUUAAAACCUUUUCUAAAAUCAUCGAAAACCAAAGAAGUAGGAGAAACAACCAUUGUGUAAAUAUCUAUUUUCUCUUUGCAAUAUCUAUCCCUUUCUCAAAGUAAAUCUUGAAAACUUUUUAGAACUUUAGACAAUUAUUUAUAGUUAUCCAAUACUUCAUAUGUUAGAAAGUUUCUUAUUUUAUGUAUUUAGUGAAUUUACCUUUUAGAUGUUUUAGUUUUUGUUAUUCAACUCCUUUAACAUCAGUUUUCCAUUUUUUUCAUUGGUCUAUUUUAUGUUAAUAUACAUAAAUUUUCAAAUCAUGACAUUUUAAAAAAUCAUUAUUUUUUAUUAGCCUACUUUAUUAGAUAAUAUACAUUUUUUUAUUAACAGGUAAUAUAGUAUUUAAGGAUAUGUUUUGACUUUUAAAAUUUUUGAUUUUUAAAUAUAAUAAUGAUAUAUCGACAUUAAGUAUUAACACUUAUAUUUUCUGUUAAUAUACAUCAAUUUGGAAAUCAUGACAUUUUAAAAACUAAUAAUUUUUUAUUAGCCUACUUUAUUAGAUAAUAUACAUUUUUUUUAUUAACAGGUAAUAUAAUAUUUAAGGUUAUGUUUUAACUUUAAAAAUUUUGAUUUUUAAAUCUUAUAAUUAUAAAUCGACAUUAAGUAUUAGAACUUAUAUUUUCUGUUAAUAUACAUUAAUUUGGAAAUCAUGACAUUUUAAAAACUAAUAAUUUUUUUAAUUAGCCUAUUUUAUUAGAUAAUAUACAUUUUUGGAAAUAUUAACAUUUAAUCUGAUUUUUCAUAUUUGUAUUGGUGGUUUUAAAUCCUA
Long non-coding RNA from Brassica napus (rape), 9304 nucleotides. RefSeq lists it as uncharacterized. The record is from RefSeq and is a predicted model, not a curated record. The transcript is spliced from 4 exons. Lineage: Eukaryota; Viridiplantae; Streptophyta; Magnoliopsida; Brassicales; Brassicaceae.